RNAcentral lists this ribosomal RNA (254 nucleotides) under uncultured bacterium. RNAcentral's name for it is "partial 16S ribosomal RNA". It matches the Rfam family "Bacterial small subunit ribosomal RNA", at positions 524 to 776 of the family's 1533-position model. The record is from RNAcentral.
UACGGGGGGAGCAAGCGUUGUUCGGAUUUACUGGGCGUAAAGGGCGCGUAGGCGGUCUUGACAAGUCACUUGUGAAAUCUCCGGGCUUAACUCGGAACGGUCAAGUGAUACUGUCGGACUAGAGUACAGAAGGGGCAACUGGAAUUCUCGGUGUAGCGGUGAAAUGCGUAGAUAUCGAGAGGAACACCUGCGGCGAAGGCGGGUUGCUGGGCUGAUACUGACGCUGAGGCGCGAAAGCCAGGGGAGCGAACGGG